UGGCUGCAAGAGGGGAUGCUGCAUUUCCACCUGGCUCUGGGCUGAACCUGGUGAGAAGGAGCCGAGCAGUGCAUUUUCCCGUGCCCUCUCUUAUAGCAAGCCCAGACGUAAGGAGAAUUUUGCAGGUCUCUGCUUUAAUUUGCUGUUACGUGAGAGCCCUGAAGGUUUGGAAGUGGUGGUGGUCGGACUGGGGGUGGUGAAGGAUGUGGCUUCUGCAAGCACAGGGCAGGAGCUGGUCUGGGACCAUGCAGAUGCUGAGCGAAAGUCUCGUCUCCUUUUAUUCAGCAGAGUAAAAACCCCAAACUCGGUAUUACUGGACAGAAGGAGGCUGCGGUGUAACCACCCAGUUGAUUUUUCAGGCUCUCUGCUGGGUGAGGAGCCCAUUUCUGCUCGCACCAGAGGCUGCACUGGAGCGGAAACCUCGGCGCUGCACUUAGAGUUUAGGAAGCUACUUUGGAAAAUUGGACAUCUGGCGUCGAUGAGGCUGCUGAAAACCUGCCAGCUUUUGGUAUGCAUCACAUGGGAAGCCCUCGCUGUGCUGCACAAGCUGAUAACAGCUCACACCCAAAUCUCUGCUCAUGUCCAACAGGAGCAGGAUGCUGACUGCUCCCUGCUCCGCUCCAGGCUGAGCAGCACUGAUGUGACCGGAGAGCCACAUCCAGCCCGGGGUUCAUCUUGGCUCAGCAUCUUCUUACCAGACCUGUCCCACUGGCACAUGAACAGUAGGUAUAAAUAAUUACAGCAGAGAAUAAUUACAGCUGUAGCACACUUGAAUGAACCAGCGACUUGUCGCCUGUUUCUCUCAGUGGUAGACAGGAACAGGGUAUAAUGGAUUAUUUGUCGCCGUGCUGCAAUUUUAAUACACGCAUGGGAAGCAGUUUGCAGGACACUGUUCCCCAUAGGAAGUGCUGUAUUGUUUCCAAGACUUAACUUUCCUCCGCUCCUCAUUUGCCAAAAUUAAAAAUAUCGAUCUCCUUGGGAAGCACGAGCCCUCUAACAGUGAUUGCUCUCAAACCCGCCGUCGAUACUGGGUCCAUUAAUGUAAUCGCGUUAUCACAGAGGUGAUAUUGUGUAUUAGGAGGCUGGAGGAGGGCAGGGAGUGGGAUUAAACACAUCAUCCAAUCAACCCUGAAGGUGUAAUUCAGUAUAAAUCAUUUUUUAAUCAACAGGAGGAUGUGUUAAAGUCAUUUGCUUGCGGUGUAUGUUUAUAGGGAGAAAAUGCAGGGAUAUUAAAGAAGAGUUUCUGUCGCUGGAUUUAUUUUUAAAUUGUUCUUUUUAUUGGCCCAUAGUACAAUAGGCAAACGAGAUGCUCUCAAAUAAAUGUUUGUCAUGUGAGAUGGAAACGUGCCUC
Molecule: long non-coding RNA, 1351 nt
Filed under: Anas platyrhynchos platyrhynchos (common mallard)
Lineage: Eukaryota; Metazoa; Chordata; Aves; Anseriformes; Anatidae
Description: lncRNA (ENSAPLG00000022402.1)
Source: RNAcentral